UCUCUUUUCCUCUCUUUUUCUCUCUCUUCUCUCUCCUCUCCCCUCCCCCUCGUGCGAAUUGCCCCCCACGCCCACACUCUCUCCUUUUGUCCCUUGCCGUUUUCUAUUUUGCUUUCUCCUCCCCCUUUUGACUAGUCAAAGUUUCCUCACUUAUCUCUUCUUCUCUCUCCUCUCUCUUCUUCCCCCCAACCCCACGUGACCGAGCCCUGCUUCUUCUCCUUCCUUCUUCGUGCAACCAGCGAACAAAAGCAGGAGCUGAAGCGAAGACAGCAGCUCGCCGAAGCAGCUCGCCGUUACUGCCGCACGCCGCCGGGCCGCCGUCCGCGCCACCCGCGCAACGCCGCGCGUUCCGCCGGCCGUCCCUCGUGCCCAGGCGUCCUCCUCCGCACGAUCCAGCCGCUGCCCAGCCUCUGUUCAGCCCCGUCCGGCCACCUCCGGCCACCGUGGGCCACCGUUCGGCCUCGCCAAGCCGCCACCUACCUUCCCGACCCCUUGCUGCCCCCAACCAUCUCUUUUUCCCCUCUGUUUCGCAGCAAACCAGCAACCCACGAAAUGGGUUUCCAGCUGGUUCGGGCUCGUUUUGGGCCGUUUCCCGGCCCCAAACCCGAGGCCCGCUUUGGGAAGAAUUGUUCCUCGCGUCGCCGCCGUCGGAUUGAUCCGAUUUGCGCACGAUUUGGUGAGUAAUUUCACUAAUCCUGAAUUAGUUGGCUAAUUAUGCUUUAGGUUGGUUUAGUUUUAAUUAAUUAUGUUUAGGUUGUUAGAUUAGAAUAAAUAAGCAAUUAUUAGUCAAUUGUGAUGUGAUUUAAAUAAAUUGAUUGUGCAAUUAGCAAGUAGACGUGGUCUACUAUUUAUUGAAGGCAUCUCGGGAAUUUUCGGAUCCCUAAUCGGGCAUCAAUUUGGCGAUUCGGUCCUAAGUGAGAUUUUUGGGCAUUUAAAUAUUAAUUUUUGGAAUUAAAUUAAAUAAUUAUUUAUUUUCCGAAAAUUCAAGGGAGAUGGUUCGGAAUCGGAAAAUUAUGCUGAUGAUCGUGGUGAAGUCCGUUUAUUUAAUCGGACUUUAUGUUAAGCUAAAUUGAAUUUUUAAUAUUAAUUAAUUUUCGAAAUUAAUUAAAUAAUUAUUUAUUUUCCGAAAAUUCAACUGAGAUGGCCUGGAACCGGAAAAUUAUGCUGAUGACCGUGGUGAAGUCCGUUUAUUUAAUUGGGCUUUAUUUUGAGCUCAAUCGAAUUUUUAAUAUUAAUUAUUUAAUUUUCGAAAUUAAUUAAUUAUUUAUUUAUUUCUUGAAAAUUCAACUGGGAUGGCCCGUGACCGGAAAAUUAUGCUGAUGACUGUGGUGAAGUCCGUUUAUUUAAUUGGACCUUAUUUUGAGCUAAACGGAAUUUUUAAUGUUUAAUAAUUAAUUUUCGAAAUUAGUUAAUAAUUAAUUAUUUUUCGGAAAUUAAGAUUGAGAUGGCCAACGACCGAAAUCUCGUGCUGAUUGUCGGGGUGCAGUCUGUUUAUUUAUUUGAGCUUUGAAUUGUGCCAAAUUGAAUUGAAUGUGGAAUUUAGGAUAUAUUCCUAAAUGGUUGUGGUUAACUAUUUCAUUGAGAAACCAUUGAAUCUUGCAAGCGGUCGAGUGGGACCGUAAAGCCAUUGAAUCUUGCAAGGGGUCGAGUGGGACCGUAAAGCCAUUGAAUCUUGCAAGGGGUCGAGUGGGACCGUAAAGCCAUUGAAUCUUGCAAGCGGUCGAGUGGGACCGUAAAGCCAUUGAAUCUUGCAAGCGGUCGAGUGGGACCGUAAAGCCAUUGAAUCUUGCAAGCGGUCGAGUGGGACCGUAAAGCCAUUGAAUCUUGCAAGCGGUCGAGUGGGACCGUAAAGCCAUUGAAUCUUGCAAGGGGUCGAGUGGGACCGUAAAGCCAUUGAAUCUUGCAAGCGGUCGAGUGGGACCGUAAAGCCAUUGAAUCUUGCAAGGGGUCGAGUGGGACCGUAAAGCCAUUGAAUCUUGCAAGCGGUCGAGUGGGACCGUAAAGCCAUUGAAUCUUGCAAGCGGUCGAGUGGGACCGUAAAGCCAUUAAAUAUUGAAUGUUGUCGAGUGGUGGACUGUGUCUUCCACCUUUGCUUAAGAUGUGAUCUGAGGACCGUAGUUCGUAAUUGAUGAUUGAGAUGGAAGAAUCGAAUUGACCUAGAAGGGUCUGUCUGACAUGUAAUCGACGAGGUCGAUUGAUCAUUGUUUUGAUUUGAUGUUGUUGAAUUGAUUGACUGAAUGGAUGGAAAUGACCGUGAGUGGUCUUGUUGGCUUGUAAUCGACUAGGUCGAUUUGAUCGAUGCUUCGAUCGGUGAUAUGAUUGUUUGAGUGUCUAUUAUGAAUUGUACUGACUUGCAGGUGGGAUCUGAUGCUAAGGUACGUCCUCUGCCCUGUGCGUGUUUAGGCAGCCUAUAGUAUAAUGGUUUACUAAUCGGGCUUAGUGGGGUAGAACUCGCUGAGACGUAGUCUCAUCCCAGUUUGGGGAAAAACAUUUCANNNNNNNNNNNNNNNNNNNNNNNNNNNNNNNNNNNNNNNNNNNNNNNNNNNNNNNNNNNNNNNNNNNNNNNNNNNNNNNNNNNNNNNNNNNNNNNNNNNNNNNNNNNNNNNNNNNNNNNNNNNNNNNNNNNNNNNNNNNNNNNNNNNNNNNNNNNNNNNNNNNNNNNNNNNNNNNNNNNNNNNNNNNNNNNNNNNNNGUUUGGUUAUAAAUUUCAAUAUGAAAAAUAUGGCCCUGCUUUUCUAUCCCAUCGUUUUAUUGUCUGGGGAUUUUAAUUGCUUCCGCAUGUGCUUAAUAAAUGAAAGGGUCGGCGAUACUAGUCCUGGGAUAUCGCAUUAUAAAAUCGACCAAAUAGAAGGAUGUGUACGUGCCUGAGGAUCGGGGCGUGACAGAUAAACUCUAGGGGCAACACGUGCUAGCCACUACACACGUGCCACCGGGUAAGUCACCCUGCGACGUCCGAAAAUCGAAUUCCUCCCCUUGCAUUAGGGGGAGAAGCUCGCCGCCAGCAGCGCCACCUAGGUGGGUGGUUUCAUAUACCUAGUAUUUAUUCUUUAACAAGGAAUAAAAAGAAACCUUUUUUUGUUAAAUGGCCAAGAAGUCUCUAUAAAUAACCCUUCGAAGCUAAGUUCUUGUUGUGGCCAGCAAGAGAGGAUCGGGCGAGGCGUGAGCGCAAACGAAUCGCUCAACCGGGUUAAGUUCGGAAUAAUCCUCAAGGGCUGAUAUAACUUGGUUGCUUCUUGACUUCUUGCUAGAGAAGAUGAGACUGUGAAAGCCCAGCAAAGAUAAUGGGCUGUGCCUGAUGUGGUCGUGGGAAUCAUUCUCUAGAUUGGAACCUCAUUUCUUAUUGAAAUAUUUCAUAACUUUUUCGUUUACUUGCAGGGCUCUUUCUCAUGACUUCUCUCGUGGGCUUGCGUGGGUGGCUCGAAUUCCUCCUAGCUUUGAUUGAAUUUCCCCCUCAUUUUUUGCCGAAUUUAUGCAAGUCUCGACCUGGUUCUAGCACCCUCACUUGGCUUCGACCAUGAUGAUUAGGAAGAGUGACACGUAAAUCUGGAGGAAGACUCCCUUCAAGUUGGUUCAUGGGAAACUCACAGCCGACAAGAGAAAAGAAGAAAUGUUGAAGAAGGAGGAAGGGAGAGUGCCAUGGAGUCCAUUUGUACCGAGAUAAAGACACUCCAAAUUUUGCAAACAGCCCAACGCGACUGGAACUCUUGCCACAAAGUUAUUAAAUGUCACUGAGAUGAACACUAGAGAUGUGAGGUUCUCGAAGAAUUCAGGGAAGUUUCUAGAGACAUUAUCGGAGUAUUUAUGAAUUGUUGUAGCUUUGACAUAGAAACAAUUGCUAUCAAAACUUGACCAACUAACAUAUUAUCGCUUAGCUCCACAUCCUCAGGAUUAAUGCAGCCAAAGAUGCGGGCAGGAAUUUGACCAUUGACCAAAGAAUGAGUUGAUCUCUAGGUCUAAGUAUCUGAGUCUAUACAAGUUACCCAUCUUCAAGGGG
RNAcentral lists this long non-coding RNA (3994 nucleotides) under Eucalyptus grandis. RNAcentral's name for it is "long non-coding RNA (EGRA_LNC002663)". The record is from RNAcentral. Lineage: Eukaryota; Viridiplantae; Streptophyta; Magnoliopsida; Myrtales; Myrtaceae.